Molecule: ribosomal RNA, 465 nt
Filed under: uncultured bacterium
Lineage: Bacteria
Description: bacterial SSU rRNA
Rfam family: Bacterial small subunit ribosomal RNA
Source: RNAcentral
UUACGGGAGGCAGCAGUGGGGAAUUUUGGACAAUGGGCGCAAGCCUGAUCCAGCCAUGCCGCGUGUGGGAAGAAGGCCUUCGGGUUGUAAACCACUUUUGUCAGGGAAGAAACGGUCUGGUCUAAUAAACCGGACUAAUGACGGUACCUGAAGAAUAAGCACCGGCUAACUACGUGCCAGCAGCCGCGGUAAUACGUAGGGUGCGAGCGUUAAUCGGAAUUACUGGGCGUAAAGCGUGCGCAGGCGGCUUUGCAAGACAGAUGUGAAAUCCCCGGGCUCAACCUGGGAACUGCAUUUGUGACUGCAAGGCUAGAGUACGGCAGAGGGGGAUGGAAUUCCGCGUGUAGCAGUGAAAUGCGUAGAUAUGCGGAGGAACACCGAUGGCGAAGGCAAUCCCCUGGGCCUGUACUGACGCUCAUGCACGAAAGCGUGGGGAGCAAACAGGAUUAGAUACCCCCGUAGUCC